CGCACUGUGGUGGAUUCUAAAUCCUUUAACAAGGACCAAUUGGAGGGCAAGUCUGGUGCCAGCAGCCGCGGUAAUUCCAGCUCCAAUAGCGUAUAUUAAAGUUGUUGCGGUUAAAACGUUCGUAGUUGAACUUGUGCUUCAUACGGGUAGUACAACUUACAAUUGUGGUUAGUACUAUACCUUUAUGUAUGUAAGCGUAUUACCGGUGGAGUUCUUAUAUGUGAUUAAAUACUUGUAUUUUUUCAUAUGUUCCUCCUAUUUAAAAACCUGCACUAGUGCUCUUAAACGAGUGUUAUUGUGGGCCGGUACUAUUACUUUGAACAAAUUAGAGUGCUUAAAGCAGGCUUCAAAUGCCUGAAUAUUCUGUGCAUGGGAUAAUGAAAUAAGACCUCUGUUCUGCUUUCAUUGGUUUUCAGAUCAAGAGGUAAUGAUUAAUAGAAGCAGUUUGGGGGCAUUAGUAUUACGACGCGAGAGGUGAAAUUCUUGGACCGUCGUAAGACUAACUUAAGCGAAAGCAUUUGCCAAAGAUGUUUUCAUUAAUCAAGAACGAAAGUUAGAGGUUCGAAGGCGAUCAGAUACCGCCCUAGUUCUAACCAUAAACGAUGCCAGCUAGCAAUUGGGUGUAGCUACUUUUAUGGCUCUCUCAGUCGCUUCCCGGGAAACCAAAGCUUUUGGGCUCCGGGGGAAGUAUGGUUGCAAAGCUGAAACUUAAAGGAAUUGACGGAAGGGCACCACCAGGAGUGGAGCCUGCGGCUUAAUUUGACUCAACACGGGAAAACUUACCAGGUCCGAACAUAAGUGUGUAAGACAGAUUGAUAGCUCUUUCU
Molecule: non-coding RNA, 827 nt
Filed under: Drosophila simulans
Lineage: Eukaryota; Metazoa; Arthropoda; Insecta; Diptera; Drosophilidae
Description: Eukaryotic small subunit ribosomal RNA
Rfam family: Eukaryotic small subunit ribosomal RNA
Source: Rfam by way of RNAcentral